Long non-coding RNA from Carassius gibelio (silver crucian carp), 3827 nucleotides. RefSeq lists it as uncharacterized. The transcript has 2 exons. Lineage: Eukaryota; Metazoa; Chordata; Actinopteri; Cypriniformes; Cyprinidae. The record is from RefSeq and is a predicted model, not a curated record.
AACCCUUGCACUGCCAAGACUGCUUUCACAUUCAACAUUAAGUUUCAAUUGCGUUUGCAUUCGCUCCGUGUUUAUAGUUAGUUUUUCUGCUGUUCAGGUCAAUAGGUUUUAAAGACGCAGUUUGAAAGGAGGCACAUCAGGAUGGCGGGUCUUGUGCAUUUAUGUAUUGUGUUCAUUUGGAAAUGACGCAAAUCUCCGCCCUUGUUGACAGGCAUCUAUUCAGUAUCUCACCGUACUGAUGUCAUUUCCCUCACAUAUGGGCCCCAGAGAUAUUUUGUUUGGGUGGCAUUUCUGCACAAUAAACACAUUGUAAUUUUGUUUUUUGUUUUUGAGUAAUUCUUAUACAUGAUGUUACUCAUUACUCCAAAACUUCAGUUUUUUUUUUUCUCCUGAUAUGAUCAGAUUUAUUGUAUUGCUUCAGUUUAAAUUUGUUAUAUCUGUAUAAUAUAUUUAAAUGACAUUAAGGUUGUAAUUAAUUGAUUAAUAUAUAAAUUAAAGUAUUUGAUAAUUUUUAGUUUGGUGGAAUAUAGUGGAAUUUCUGCAAAAGCAAUCCCUUGCGAUGAGCUCUGUUUGGUUUGUUGGCUUAACGCAGUGACCGUUGAAUGUCAUGUCACAAUAUAACACUGAUUCACUUCCUGUCACGUUAAUCCUUGUUAAACCACAAAACGGCCAUCAGCAAAUUGUGCUGCCGUCUAGCAGUAAGGCUACCCAGAUCUGUCACUGAAAAUGCUGAGUUCACUUACACAACGUGUUGAGAAGUUUAACAGUAGGAGGGACCGCAGGUGUGACACAGUUUACUGGUGCUGCUUAAUAGCCUUGUUCAUGCAAACAUGCCAUCAUGUACUUACAUUUGUGUUGUUCCAAACCUCUUUAUUUCUUUAACACAGAAUAAGAUAUUUUGAAGAACUGUUUCUGGCAAUGCAAGUAAUAUCACUGAGGCCUUAAACAACUUUGGACUCUAUUGACUUUCAUUCAACUGACAAAAAUAUAUUUUUUUAUGAAGGAAGUCAUACAGGUUUGGAACAACAUGAAGAAAUUGAAUAUAGUGCAGGUGUACUUAACUAAUAAGUUGCACCUACUUAAGAUAUCUUGAAGAAUGUUUCAGCUGUUUUUGUCUAUUCAGUGAAUGUCGUUGGCUCCUAAAAACAAGAAGAAAGUCAUACAGUAUUGGAACCACAUAAAGAAAGAGCAGGUGUAUUUAACUAAUAAGAUAUUUUAUACUGCGACCUGACCGAUUCUAUAACCUGCGCAAUAAAAACAGCGUUUAUGUCUUGGCACUUACAGGAAUGUGCACUACCGUUAUCCAGCAUCUCACAGCAUGGUGCUAUAACUCAUGAGGACACUUUGAAUUUAUGAGCCCCCUCCAAGGCCUGUUCCUCUAAUCUGACCUGCAAUUAGACAAGAGGAAGAAAUAAGUUGGAGCUUGACUAUAAACUGACCGUUAUCACCUUCACGAAACAAAAUGCAGAUAACGUGCUUGGAGAAAAGAACCCAGUGGCACACCCGACCCAAGAUGACCUUAUUAUGGUGGCCUUUGUUAAAUUUUGAACUUAGUCAAGUUGGAUCAGUAUGAAAUAACCAUAGCAUAACUGUUAUGUGCAGUUGUGUUUAGAAAAAAAAAAUACAGUAGGUCCCUGUAUGUGUGUUUAACAUCACAGAAAAUUCUAAAGAGGCAAAUGGAAUUAGUUAUUUACUGUAAAGGGAAUUUGCAGUGUUUUACUGGGUGAUGUACAGUAAAUAAAUCGACUGUAAUAAAACUGUGUAGAAGGCCUACAAUGAAGUGCUUCUGCAGCAUAACUGAACCAAAUUCAUUGAUUAUAUAUAAAUAUGUAAUAUAUAAUAAUGUUUAAAAAAAGUGUAAACAAAUUGUAAAAAAAAAAGUUUAUAGUAAUAAACAACAUGCAGUAUAAUAAGGGCUGGGCGAUAUAUUGAAUAUUAGCGAUAGUAUCGGAAUAAUUUUGACGACGAUGUAAAAUUUGAAUAUAUCGGCAAUAUUGAAUAUUUCAAAUUCAAGCAUACUUUCCCAAAAGAACGCGCCGAAUGUCCAAAAAAGGAACCUGUAACUGCUGACUGCUCUACGCCCCUCUACUACGAGAGCUUAAUGAUAGCGGUUGCCAGAUAACAAGAGUUUAAAUCUCAGAUUCAGAGCUCCACUGUUACAAGGAUACAUUUUCUGCCCGGUGUUUGCUUAUUUUAAGCAAUCUGGCAACCAUGCGCACGUGCUCACUCCUCAUUGCGGAAGAGCCGCCAACGAUAAUCUGAAAACACUAACAAGCUGGAAUUUCGCGAUCUAAUGAAAGCGCCGUUCAGCCGGUCUGUGUUCUGUCGUGAGAUCUCAACUGUAUUGUUUGCAUUUGUGAUCGCAAAAUAAAUGCACUUAUUCGACCGCUGAUGUUUGAAUAGAGAAACAUAGGCUAUGGCCAAUUGGAAUUACUAAUGAGAAUGAGAAGUUGUCGUCAUAGCACAAAGCCCCUCCCUCGAUAUCACGGUCUCCGCCAUGUUGGAAGGAUACCGGCGGCGAAACCGGAUUGUUUACAUGUGUUGUUAAGAGGAGGUUCUCGCAAUUUUUACCUUCAUGCACACAUAUGGACAUUGGGAAUUAUAUUUUUUUUUUUUUUUAAGUUACUACACAAUGCAGGAGUUUAAAAGCCACAAGUCUUUGGAAAGUUACGAGGCUUUCUGCUGUGGCUGGGUCCAUCUACAGCAGGUGAAGAAAACAGUGUUGUACAGGCCAAAGAAAGUUUAUUCACAUGCGUUUUAGCGUAUUGUAAUUACAUUGCAUUUAGAAUGCACUUCUUGACCAAAAUGACAAAGUAAUUAACUGCGAAUGAACACUAGACUGUAACGAGAUGUUCAAUGUAUACGAAAGUUUCCAACAUGUUUUGAUGUAGGCUAUAGCUGUGUAUGUUUAGUUAUAAUUUGAUUUUAACCCAAUUGGGGGCUGCAAAGUGGACAAACCAGUUCUGGGUUAGCUAGGGUAGUUAAAUGUGUGAUUGCGAGAUGUAAAUGUCCUGGUUAGAUUAAAGCCAUUAACAGCGUGAAUGCAAAGUGACUUACAUUGUAAACAAUAUCCAUAUGUGUGCACUGAGGUAAAUUGUUCAGGUCUCUGUGCUGCUGCAGGGAGCUGCCUGAGAGCUUCUCCAAACACCGCUGUUUUGCGUUUGGUGUGAGCUUGUUCCUGUAAGGUCCCCUUUCUUUCACCUUAUGUUUUUGCAUUGCUUUACUUUCUUCCUAUUCAUUCUUGUAUUCGUAGAUCCGUCUCGAUCUGUUCCGCCGACAAAAUAAAUGCGCAAAAAUGAAAGCGCUCUGAAAUGUUUAGUCGCGCCUCUGUGAAGUUCUGAAGGUAUUGCCCCUGGCAACAGAUAGCGUAUCCUGCCAUCAGGGCUGACCGGCUCAGACCCCUCCCAAAUCGGCACGUGACUCCUCAAUCUCAAUUGGGGAAUUUCACUGAUAUGUUUACCAGUUUCCAUAAUAUAGACAGAGAGAAUGCAAAAGUCUUGGAUAUUAAUUUAUAUAUAUUUAUAUAUAAGAAAUAGCUAUGUGCUUCAGCAACUAGCUCCCCAUCUAAGAGGAUUUUUAAUGUCAGUAGGAACAUAGUUUCAUGCCACAUAUUGUCAAAAAUUUUGACAAUAUCGAGAUAUCAUUUUUUUUAUAUAUCGCCCAGCCCUAAGUAUAAUGUUUGCAUUUCUUUCCCUUACUGUACCGAAAAUGAACCGAACCGUGACUUUAAAACCGAGUUACGUACCGAACCGUGAUUUUUGCAUACUGUUGCACCCCUAAUAUAUAUAUAUAUAUAUAUAUAUAUAUAUAUAUAUAUAUGAACAAAA